This is a non-coding RNA of Lolium perenne, 3678 nucleotides long. The record is from RefSeq and is a predicted model, not a curated record. Lineage: Eukaryota; Viridiplantae; Streptophyta; Magnoliopsida; Poales; Poaceae.
UUCGGUGCGCCUCCCAGUUCCCCGCCCGACUAUCUCCAUGUCGCCUCCCCCAUAAUCAUCGCGGUUGUGCGGCGACGGUUCCCCAUUCCUUCGUCGCGCCGCCUCCCCCAUAUCACGCCGCGCCGUGGCCAGCCCCUUGCCAUGGUAAGCCCCGUCCAUGGCUACUGCUGACAGGGGUAAUAAGGAGGAGCCGUUCCCCAUGUGCGCCCAAUCUGCAGAGCGACGGCACCGCGCCGCCCCCACUCCUCCCCCGCCGUCUUCUCAACAGAUGGGAAAGGUUGAUGCGACGGUGAGAUUGGCUUCGUACCGUUGCUCACCCGCUCUAGACUACCGCGAUCCCGUGAGCGUGAGCGCGAGGAAGAAGAAGGACUGAAGGAGGCGAGGAGCCAGGAUAAGGGGGUUGUGACUGCGUGGGUGAGCUCUGGUGGACUUACCCCAAUUUUAGGGUUCGUUCGUUCGCUGCCUAAGAUUCUCCUUUUCUGAAUCUCAACUGCUCCUGCGCCAUGGCGGACCAGGUCUUGUCGAUCUUUUCUUGUGCAGCAGCACACACUACCGAUUAGGAGAUGCUCUACUGUUUCUCUUGCUCUUCCAGUUUCACUAUGCCUUUUGUGAUUCUAAUUAUUUUACAUCCUCAGGUUUUGCCUCUUUUCCUAUUUGCGCAGGUACGUUGUUGUGGAUCUUACCUUGCAGUUGCACCAGCGACACUGCUGCAACAAGUACUGAGUGAUCCAAAUGAUUUUCAGAAGAUGGUUCAGGGAGUGACAGAGUCAACUCUUAGCAUCUUACAGUUUCACAAUCUCAGCUCAUGUUGGAAGACUAUCUAAGGUGAUGCAAGAGUUUAUACUGGCCAAUUGAGUGUAUGCAUUAUUUUUAUGCAUUAACAUAGAAUGUAUCAUUGAAAAGAACUACCAUUGUAGUAUACUGCAUUCGUGAACUUUACAUUCAGAAACUAAUCCUAAUCUACAGCCACGGCUGCAGCGCUGACACAGAUGGGCGGCAGGGAACGCCGGAGUUGCUAAUAGACAUGUCCAUUGAAUGUGACACAAGCCGUGCGUGGCGUGUCCUUGCUGAGUUGAGUAGAAAAAAUUAAACAUGUGUCACAUCACGCGGACUAUCUGAUAAAACCAUGGUUAGGGGGAUGACAUUCCAGUUUAUCAAGGUUACGAGACUAUUUAGAAGGUUUGCAUCUGUUGUCUAAAAAGCGUUAACCUGACCUCGAGCAAGAGAAUGAGAUAUUCGUGUUGCCACAAUUCCAUAGGCCAAUCACUUUCUUGGCUUCCUGGAAGAGGAUACUUGCUGCAACUCAAUUACUGCCCCUUUACCUCUAGAUUUAUGCCGAGCAUGUUUGCUGAAAGUGAAGUUCUUCAUCUUGCCGUGGGUAUUGGAUUACAUGCAUGUUCUUGUUUUAGUUGUAAUCCCUAUCUAUAUUAGUAUAUUCAACAAACUUCUUGGCUAAUUUUCGGUACGCAAAAUUACAGAGGUUGCAAGUAGAACGAGUGCAAAUUUCAACUUAAAUCAUAUUUAACGAUGCUUUCAUGUGCAUUCUUCUCAUACGUUGCCCCGCUAAAUGUUGAUUACAUAAUUUCUCCUCUGUAAUUUUGGAAUUAGUUUGUUUCAGCUUUCAUUCAGCCAUAGCUGGAGCAGGCACUAUCAAAGUAUACACUCACUAUCACUAUCAGUAUCACCGGGAAGCCCAACCUCAAGUGGAACUAUGUUGCUGGCUAUGAGUCUGCCAAGUAGACUGGUAAAAUUCCCAAAGUUUUUGACAGGUAACCUUCGGUGAGGAUGCAAGCUGCAAGCGCUCCUUGAGUUAGCCCGUUCCGAAAACCCGAUGGACAAGAAGGCAUGGAACGUCCCAGGCAAUGAGUUAUCAUGGCAGCAGAUGUCUAAAACAUUGCGCGUGCCCUGAGAAGAAAGAUAGGACGGAAUAAAUGAUGGCAAAGAUGAAGGAACAGAGAGUGUUUCUUCUGCAAAUGAGGCACGAGAAGAAAGAUAGAAGAGAUGAAUUCACUGAUUCCAACGUAUAGGUAUUGCAACUUCUUUCACUUGUGCAUUCCUGUUAUCAUUCUGAACUUGGUUUGAUCUCAUUCCCUGCUGUAGCUGUUAGCCGAGUAGAAUGCCAAAUAUAGGGACAAGUUUGGUUUUGCAUGGAAGAUAUGUGAUCCUAGCAGGGCUGCCCUUGAGGUUUAUCUACUCACCGCAUCUUUCCAAAAAUAUCUUACAAGAAGAUCAUUAGCUUUUUUUUUUGACUUUGUGGUUUUACAACCGAAUAAGCAGAAUUACUGGUUUUGUACUGCUGCACUUCGACUGAUGAUUUUCCGCACUCUCCGUUCUUCUUCAAGUAAUCAUUCAUACAUUAUCACCACUUUGAAAGAAUCUAGGCAUCUUAUUGAUUUAUUUGCUGAUGAGAAACCAGCUUACUCAUGAGAUCGCUAAGUAGCCAGGAGAGAGUUGAAUGGAGUUUUUAGGUGUGUGUUGGAGAUAGUGUGCAUAAGCUAUGUAUCACCAAAUAAAUCUGCCGAGGGUGACACUAUGGGUGAUGGAGUCAAUGAAUCCGCUUGCAUUGGCGGAUGGCGCACACGGCGGACGAGGCGGCAUGGUGCUUAAUGCGGCUUUCGAUGCGUGCCCCGAAAAGGGUGAAAUCUCGGCUAAGGGAAAGACCAUGUUAGAGUAAGAUCCUAACUCCGUGCCAUGGAAGAUAAGCUUAAUUACAGGAUAUUUAAAGACUUGGAUCCAGUACUACAGAAUUAGAUUGCAUUGUUGGUUUUUAUUCCUCAUGUUUGUAGUUCUACCCUUUCGAAUGUUUUUUACUGCCUUUAUGAUAUCUACUUGUAACACACUUCGGAAUUUGUCCUAUAUUUUUUGGUCCAAGUAAGAUUUGCACUUACUCACCACUGAUUUGUUUUUGACAUGGCGAGGCUGACGCUAAUGAAUUGGUGGGAUCUACUUCUUUUGGUAUUGUUCUUCUAGCCGCCAGAGUUUAAAAAUCCUAUAUAAGGAAACUACUACUUCAACGAUACAUCUAUUACGGCAUUCUGUAAGCUAGACUUUUUGUUCUCUAACGAUUGCUUAUCACAUUAGAACUGAAUAUGCUAUGUUGAUGACUUUUAUUUCCAGUCUUUCUGGGUGGUGUCAUAUUAGUAGGCUGCAAAAUAGAUAGCUUCAUGUUGCUUUUUAUAUUUUUAUGGUUGAUACAUGUCUCAACCCUAGCUGAUUCACGAUUGUAAACUUUUGAAUAUUUGAAACACUGUAAUAAAUAAAAAGUUGUGUCCUUGUUCAAAAAAAAAAAACUGUGUGCAUCAACAGAUGCUGGGGUUUCUCCCCAUUUCAAAAAAAGAAUUUUGAAUAGAUAGUGACUUAGUAAACAUUAUAUUCUCGAUGUGUAAAUGGCAAGUUUUAAAUGAUUAUAAUAUCUUGUAUGGGAUGAUUUGUUUUUGGACAGAAACAGGAGAAGCUCUACUCUCUAUUGCCAAAAGGAAAGCUUCCAGGGCAUCGGGAAGAAAAUGUUCACAAAAAGCAUAGAACUAGAGCUUAGGGUUGGCUUUAGAACUAGAAGUAGAAGUUAAAAGUAUUGUAGAUCAACGCUGGAGGAUGGUGAACUCUGAUUACUAAACUAGAAAAUAAUUUUAUUGUUUUUGGAAUAGUAUGAGACUAUAUCUUUUUUUGUUCACAUGAACU